This 485-nucleotide ribosomal RNA is filed under the name uncultured bacterium. Its description in RNAcentral is "bacterial SSU rRNA". It matches the Rfam family "Bacterial small subunit ribosomal RNA", at positions 28 to 548 of the family's 1533-position model. The record is from RNAcentral.
AUUGAACGCUGGCGGCAUGGCUAAAACAUGCAAGUCGAACGCGAAAGAGGAGCAAUUCUCGAGUAGAGUGGCGAAAGGGUGAGUAAUACGUUCCUACGUGCCUUGAGGUCAGGGGUAGCCAGGGGAAACUCUGGGUAAUACCUGAUGUGGUCUCCGGAUCAAAGGCUUGCCGCCUCAAGAGCGGGGAACGUCCUAUCAGCUAGUUGGUGAGGUAGUGGGUCACCAAGGCGAAGACGGGUAGCGGGUGUGAGAGCACGGCCCGCCACAUCGGAACUGAGACACUGUCCGGACUCCUACGGGAGGCUGCAGUAACGAAUCUUCCGCAAUGCGCGAAAGCGUGACGGAGCGAUGCCGCGUGCAGGAUGAAGCCCCUCGGGGUGUAAACUGCUGUCAGGGAUUAGCAACACAAUGAGCAGUCCCAAAGGAAGAGACGACUAACUCUGUGCCAGCAGUCGCGGUAAUACAGAGGUCUCGAGCGUAGUCGG